Molecule: long non-coding RNA, 2744 nt
Organism: Equus asinus (donkey)
Lineage: Eukaryota; Metazoa; Chordata; Mammalia; Perissodactyla; Equidae
Source: Ensembl
GUCUAAACCCCAGGGUCAGGCAGGCUGUAUUUGACCCGAGGGUACCAUUUCUGAUGCUGGAGUUCUUUUGAAGAAACUAAGAGCUGUGGCAGAAUAAGCUAGUAGAUGAGGAUAGGGUGAAUAAAGCACAAGUACCAACUGGUUUUACUGAGGCUGAAUUGGGGAAGAGGAUCCAGGAUCCUGAGAUGAAGUCUGGAGAAGGGAGACGCUCUUAGAUGAGCAGUCAUUGUAUCUCUGAGCUUUUGAUUUUCGUGUUUGCUCCUUCUACCUGGAGUCUCUGGGAGGCAAGGAAGGAUGAAGAUCUAAAGGCAAUUGCUGAAUGCCUCCUGUACAACAGGCAUUAUUCAAUUUGCUGGCGACAGAGAUGAGAAUGAUACAAACUCGAGUCUCAAAGAGCUCACAGUCUUGUCUGAAGAAGGAGAGGGCUGGUAGACAGCAAGGAAGUCAUGUGACUAGAAGGAACCUCGGUGAGGAUUGGAUAAAGGCUUGUGUUCAAAGGAUUCAUGUUUGCCUAUUUAAGGUCCCUACGGGAGUAUCAUUGCCACAGGAAUGGGUGCCACAUUUUAUGAAGCUAGAGACCACACUGCAAAGAAAAUGCCCGAAAGCAGUCAUUUCUCCGGCCUGGAAUUAAAAGUGACCCCCUUUCAUAUUUCCUUGGGCUCUGCAGGCCGAAGUGGAGACCCUAUUUGCCAAGUCUCAGCCACAGUUAAUUUACUUUCGUUUUAUUUUUCCUUACUCCUGAAUUGAAUUAUCACCUUCCUGAAGAGCCGUGUGUGUAAUGGAAAAGCUGACACCAGCCAAAGUGGAGUAUUGCAGCCCAAAUGAGGCUCCUAUUAUUGCCCUGUUACGGGAGGAACGGGCUUCUGUUUGCCCUUCAUUCAUCACCUGCUGACUGUGAAACCAAGUCGAGCUGCUUUGUUUUAAUGGCAGUUGUUCUGCCCUGACCUAUGCUGCUCGCCCACCCUGCUCCAGGAGCAAACAGAUGAGUUCCAUUUGGAGCUGAACUUACUGUGCAUGAAAAUCACGAGGGCAACGAGAUUUUUUCUUCGCCUUCAUGCAACGGGGAGCAUUAAGCACUGCAUUCUGUCCCUUGAAGUCCAGAACAGGACACCUGGCUAACGGGCACCCUAUGAGACCAUCUUAUCACACUUUUCAGACCGAAGGACCUCAGCUUUGUGCUGUCCCUCCUGCUAAGGCCUUUAAAGAUCCCUCCUAAGGUUUCCAUACGCAAGUGUGUUAAAAAUAUAUCCGAGGAAAUGAUUUUCAUAGUGGAUGUUUCCUGGCUUGUGUCACACACUAUAUAUACUUCCAAUUAGGACUAUUUAUUCCUCCCUCCACCAUGCCCCGAAGCAAGGUCCAUUUGUGAAAUCUAAUUAAACCUGCUUAUUUCCUUGGAAUGAAGGACAUUUUUAGAUCUUUCACUAGGCACGCUCCUCCUGUCUGGAAGAAUUUUGUUUGUUGGUGCGUUUUAGUCUUUCUGGGGGAGGAGGGAUAGUUUUUGUUAGUUUUUCUGAGAACCCAAAAUGAUUGGAGACCUUUUAUUUACUUAUUUUUUAAACACCAGUUUCCACAGGACACUGUGAAGGAGCCAGUGCAGACUCCCUUUAGUGAAGCUCUUUCCUUGGGUUCUAAAAGCUCCUUUGUUCUCAAUUCCCAUUACUUUUCUCUCUGACUGUGGAUGGUCUCCCCUCUCCCCACAGAGCUGAGAGUUCAUGGCUGUUUCUAAUCCAUAAUUAGCUGAAAUAGAAAAAUACUCUCCUUGAGGUAAUAAUUCUCCUGCAUUUGCCGCUCUUCGCCCAUCACAAUGCAAAACAGAACAUUCUCAGACCAUGUAUGAUCACUGACAUUGCCACAGGCACCAAAAAAUUUAUUUUUUUAAGCAGCUUUGCUAAGAUGGGGCUGUCCUUGGCCUCAUAUCUGUGGUGAAUCUAAAGGAGUCAGUGAAAGCAGAAAGGAGGCAAAUAAAAUGCAGAUUGACUCUGGGAAACAUCCAUUUCAUUGGCUCUGCUUACUGGAGAAGUGGCCCAUGGAAGAUUAUGUCACCUUUUGCACCAAGUUAACGCGGCUGUUUGUCAAGUGAGACGAGAAUUCUUUGUAUUUGUAUUCUUACCUAGCUCACAUUUUUAACGAUGUCUCUUCUCCAUUUCUCAUCCAGACAUUUUUCCCUAUCUGCUUUCAAUGCUAAUGUGUCCCUGUCCUGUUUUUCAAAUUAAAUACCACACUUAAAAUAUUAAUACCCCUUGCUCUUUGAUUCUUUGUUUAUUCAUCUUAUGCAAAACACAACAGUGAGCUUCCAUCUGUAUUAAAUGCUACUGUAUGGGCCAAUUCAAUGACUUAUUAAUGACUGUUCCAUGAUAUGGAGGGCUAGGCUUUAUAUAAUCAUGCAAUUCUUAUUCAGAAAUGCUCCGCUAGUACUACCCUGUAGGGAAAAAGAAUGAAAUAUGUCUGUGUUUUCGAAGAAAAAAUGACUUACUUUGUGAAGACCAUUAUAAGAUGACUAAGUAUUGAAACUAGGCCAAGUUACUUCAGUCUCCAAGGAAGUUAGCUCACGUCUUGAAGUAUUUGGGUAUGUAAAUUUUUGUAACAUUUUUGUAACAUUUAUUGAAGUGGAAACCACAUAGCAUAAAAUUAUAGGUCAAUGAAUUAACACAAAGUGUAUAACUGCCAUGGUCAAGAAAUAGGAUAUUUAAGGAGCCUUAUUCACGCCGCUAGCCCAUAUUCUGUUCGGGCUGUUUCCUCUUUUU